This 575-nucleotide ribosomal RNA is filed under the name unidentified microorganism. RNAcentral's name for it is "bacterial SSU rRNA". It matches the Rfam family "Bacterial small subunit ribosomal RNA", at positions 111 to 699 of the family's 1533-position model. The record is from RNAcentral.
UAACACGUGAGCAACCUGCCCUUGACUCUGGAAUAACAGUUGGAAACAGCUGCUAAUACUGGAUAUUCAUCGUUCCCUUCCUGGGGGGUGGUGGAAAGCUCCGGCGGUCAGGGAUGGGCUCGCGGCCUAUCAGCUUGUUGGUGAGGUAAUGGCUCACCAAGGCUUCGACGGGUAGCCGGCCUGAGAGGGCGACCGGCCACACUGGGACUGAGAUACGGCCCAGACUCCUACGGGAGGCAGCAGUGGGGAAUAUUGCACAAUGGGCGCAAGCCUGAUGCAGCAACGCCGCGUGCGGGAUGACGGCCUUCGGGUUGUAAACCGCUUUCAGUAGGGACGAAGGGUGACUGACGGUACCUACAGAAGAAGGACCGGCUAACUACGUGCCAGCAGCCGCGGUGAUACGUAGGGUCCGAGCGUUGUCCGGAAUUAUUGGGCGUAAAGGGCUUGUAGGCGGUCCGUCGCGUCAGAAGUGAAAACUCAGGGCUUAACCCUGAGCCUGCUUUUGAUACGGGCGGACUAGAGGGAUGCAGGGGAGAACGGAAUUCCUGGUGGAGCGGUGGAAUGCGCAGAUAUCA